This 541-nucleotide small RNA is filed under the name Pongo abelii (Sumatran orangutan). Its description in RNAcentral is "retained intron". Lineage: Eukaryota; Metazoa; Chordata; Mammalia; Primates; Hominidae. The record is from RNAcentral.
UCCUCAGAGACCCCCGCUCCGGGGAGCCUCUGGACCGCGCACUGGUACUCUGGUUCCCAGGUCCCCAGAGUUUCACUGGUGAGGACUGCGUGGAGUUCCACGUGCAUGGAGGCCCGGCAGUGGUGAGCGGCGUCCUGCAGGCCUUGGGCAGCGUGCCAGGGCUUCGACCGGCGGAGGCAGGCGAGUUCACCAGGCGGGCGUUCGCCAAUGGGAAGCUGAACCUGACCGAAGUGGAGGGGCUGGCGGACCUUAUCCACGCAGAAACCGAGGCGCAGCGGCGGCAGGCCCUCAGGCAGCUGGACGGGGAGCUGGGCCACCUCUGCCGUGGCUGGGCCGAGACCCUCACCAAAGCUCUUGCCCACGUGGAGGCCUAUAUCGAUUUCGGCGAGGAUGACAACCUGGAGGAGGGGGUCCUGGAGCAAGGUGGGUCUACCUGCUGGUGGGGGAGGAAGACACCUCGUAUCAGCCCUCAAAGGCUCCCCUCACUGUUUCUCUCUGCCUGCCUUCUCUCACCCACAGCCGACAUCGAAGUACGGGCACU